AAAUGUUCGAGAUAUAGCCGAAAAAAACCCAAAACUAUACCUUGAACCCCCACCUCUUCAACCGGCGGCACCGAAAUCAUUCGUAGAAUGACUGGACCAGAGUUUCCAACUUGACACAUUGCAAAUCUUUGCUGCCGUUACCAUAGAUUUCAUUAUAAACGUCAACUUCUUGUCAUAUUUGCAAAAUUUCUUCGUGUUAGUUAUUCAUCAUGUUGAUGGUAUUGCCCAUGUUUAUAUUUGUACUUGUUAAAAUGACCGUCGAAACUAUACGCCAGUGCGCUGAAGCUUUCCGCCAAUGUACUCCUAAAUAAAUAAUAACAAUGGAAAUUCAAAAGAAAACCAUUUUGGAAUCCGUCGUGGUACGGAACUGCUUAAAAAUUGGGGAAGUAAUUAACUGAAUAGAAUCUCUAGUAAGACCAUUUGCUUAUUAUAUGCAGAUUGCGGAUAGAACAAGACACUAUUUGUGCACCGACCACCAAGAUCCAUUUCUAUACUAACCUUGUCUGCACUAUUAUCUACAUUCGACAAGGAAAAGAUUAAGCGAUAUAGAUGACCAAAACAAAUAAACCGAGGACCGGAAAAGCUUCGUUACGCCCGCCCCCGCAAAAUGUUUCGAAUAUAAUUCUUUGUAUUCGAAUAAACUAUUUGAGACGCAUGUUCUAUGAAAAUACUGCAAAUUUCUUAUGCGUCAUUUCAUUUCCAUUCGCAUGUUUGUUCGUGAGGUACUUUAUAUGACGCAGAGUUACGACUUUUAAAAUGAAUUAAAAGAUCCAUUGAAAUGGCCGAUGUUCUUAUUGCGUAUGAAUCAGAACUGUAAUUUUACCUAUCAUUCGUUUCAUUCAAUGCGGAUAUUUGCACUGCACUGAAAGUUUUAACAUCGCCAAUAGAUACGCCUCCUCCUUAUGUUCCUCUUUCUCUU
Long non-coding RNA from Photinus pyralis (common eastern firefly), 919 nucleotides. RefSeq lists it as uncharacterized. The record is from RefSeq and is a predicted model, not a curated record. The transcript has 3 exons. NCBI's taxonomy places the organism in Eukaryota, Metazoa, Arthropoda, Insecta, Coleoptera, Lampyridae.